This 398-nucleotide ribosomal RNA is filed under the name uncultured bacterium. RNAcentral's name for it is "bacterial SSU rRNA". It matches the Rfam family "Bacterial small subunit ribosomal RNA", at positions 358 to 772 of the family's 1533-position model. The record is from RNAcentral.
GGAAUCUUAGACAAUGGGGGCAACCCUGAUCUAGCCAUGCCGCGUGAGUGAUGAAGGCCUUAGGGUUGUAAAGCUCUUUCAGCUGGGAAGAUAAUGACGGUACCAGCAGAAGAAGCCCCGGCUAACUCCGUGCCAGCAGCCGCGGUAAUACAGAGGGUGCGAGCGUUGUUCGGAAUCACUGGGCGUAAAGCGCGCGCAGGCGGGACCUGCAAGUCGGGAGUGAAAGGCCGGGGCUCAACCCCGGAGCUGCUUUCGAGACUGCGGACCUGGAGACCAGUAGGGGUUGGUGGAAUUCCCGGUGUAGCGGUGGAAUGCGUAGAUAUCGGGAAGAACACCCGUGGCGAAGGCGGCCAACUGGGCUGGAUCUGACGCUGAGGCGCGAAAGCGUGGGGAGCAAA